This 419-nucleotide ribosomal RNA is filed under the name uncultured bacterium. RNAcentral's name for it is "bacterial SSU rRNA". It matches the Rfam family "Bacterial small subunit ribosomal RNA", at positions 355 to 765 of the family's 1533-position model. The record is from RNAcentral.
UGGGGAAUAUUGCGCAAUGGGGGAAACCCUGACGCAGCGACGCCGUGUGAGGGAAGAAGGCUUUCGGGUCGUAAACCUCUGUCAGGAAGGAAGAACCUCUCAAGGCUGAACAAGCCUUGGGACUGACGGUACUUCCAGAGGAAGCACCGGCUAACUCCGUGCCAGCAGCCGCGGUAAUACGGAGGGUGCAAGCGUUAAUCGGAAUCACUGGGCGUAAAGCGCGCGUAGGCCGUCUUUUAAGUCGGACGUGAAAGCCCUCGGCUCAACCGGGGAACUGCGUUCGAUACUGGGAGACUUGAGUCCUGGAGAGGGUGGCGGAAUUCCGGGUGUAGGAGUGAAAUCCGUAGAUAUCCGGAGGAACACCCGUGACGAAGGCGGCCACCUGGACAGGUACUGACGCUGAUGCGCGAAAGCGUGGG